CCUGCGGUCCGUGUCCCUCUGCCUGUUUGGUGUCUUCAGGCCCUUGUACCACCCCUCCCUUCUCCUCUUGGAAUUCUGGUGAAACUGGACACCUCUGGAUAGCCAGCUUCGUCCUCUGCAAACCUUUAGCUGGCUGUCGGGGGACACCGCAGAUCGGAAGUGGCUGCCCUGAGGGGCAGCUGGUCAUGCAGAAGCGAUGUUGAGUUAAUUAACUUUGAUCCCGUGCAUUCUGAAGGGCUAAAUAUGUGAGUCCUUCCCUCAGCACACAGGACAUCGGACGCAACUGCUCAGCUAGAUCACAUCCUCUACCCCCUCACAGCGUGCGUAGCGGACCCUCUCAAGACUCACCGAUCACACAAGACACACUACAAAAUAUCACUUCUAAAGCUCCCUGCUCCUCACUGAGUGCUCGCAUGACUCAGCUGCAGAACCAGGCUAUAUCCUGCAAAAAUGGAAUUCCUUUGCAUGCAAAAUGCAUAUUGACAUAGAUGAGAAUAUGUAUAGCAUAAUACAGCACGUCAGCGUGAUGUAGCUGUACAAGCUACAGCCAAAGAGAAGCUGAAAAGGAUCUAUGAUUGGCUGUGUAUUGAUAAUGCAGCCGGAUCAGCCGAACGGGUAUCAGCGUCAGUGGGCUUUACAGGACGGAACAGCCCCCAUUUCGUGCCGGCAGCGACAAAUCUUCAGCUAUUCCCAGAAAUAAGCUAAUGAAGAGGGAAAUAUAAACCUUCCACCCUGACCGGGGGCCCUGUAUAUACCUGCGGCUGGGCAGGAGCUGCCGGAACCGCCGAGCGCCUCUCCCGGGAGUGGAGCGCCCCGGGACAGCCAUGCCGCUCUCUCCCUCCCACCGGCGCAGCGGCCCCGCCGCUCCGGGCAGAGCCCGGCCAGAGCGGCGGGCGGAGCUGCCGGAGGUGCCACCGGCCCGGCCCCGCGGCGCUGGAGCCGAGCCUCGGGCAGCCUCGCCCCGCCGAGCCGGCUGCGCCCCGGGCCCGCCCGCCGCUCCCGAGGAGCACGGCCCGGCGCGGCGCGGCGAGCGCGGCCAUGGAGCGGCGCGGGGGCCGGCGGCAGGACUCCGGAGAUAGUGUUUCUGAACUACGGGAAUGGAGACCAGCCAUUUACAGAAAGUGUACCGACGUUCUCUGGCUGCUCCUCUUCUGUCUUUUCUGGGCUGGUUUGAUGUUUAUAAGUGGCUAUGCUGUGGUGGUUGGUGCUGCAGAAAGACUUGUGCUUGGAUAUGACAGCUUUGGGAACAUAUGUGGUCGGAAGAACACUCCUGUAGAAGGGGCAAAUCUUUCUGGAUUGGACAUGACUAAUAAAAAGUAUGUGUUCUUUCUAAAUUCAUGCAGCCUGGAAAUACAAGGCCCCAAAAUCAGUUCACUCUCCUUGUGCGUGUCAAGUUGUCCACAACAGCAACUCAACUCUUUGGAAGAUCUACAGAGUUUUGCAAGGAAUAAUGGUUCUUUCCUUUGUGUUUACAACCUGAACGUUUCCAGUUACACAGUAAAUCCAAAGGCAGCUCAGCUGUGUCCCACACUGCCAGUUCCACCAAGUAAAUCUUUUCCGUUAUUUAAUCGCUGUGUUCCACAAAAUCCUGAAUGCUAUUCCAAAUAUGCAUCUGUCCUCAUAAGUCUGGUUAAUGAAAUGGAUGUUUUUCACCGAAUUCUGAGUGGAAUAUUGGCAGGAAGAGAUACUGUGAUAGGACUGAGUGUCCUUGCACUAGCCUUCUCUUUGAUACUGGUUUUAGCCUUCAGAUUCAUUCAGACUCUCUUCAUCCAUACUCUGAUUGCACUGGUAGUGUUCGGGUUGUUGUUUGUCUCAGGUGUUCUCUGGUGGCUCUAUUAUGACUACAGGAAUGACCCCAGCACUGAACUGGAAACUGAAAAGGAAAAUGUAAAGUUCCUACUUGGAUAUGCCAUCUUCUCAACAAUCAUCACUGUUGCUCUGCUCUCCCUUAUAUUUGUACUAAGAAAGAGGCUUCCAUUCUCUGUACAGCUCUUUCGAGUUGUUGGCAAAAUCAUUGGCAGAAUUCCUUUCCUCCUGUUCCAGCCACUCUGGACUUUUCUGAUUCUCAUUGUGUUCUGGGUAUUUUGGGUUGCUAUACUGCUUAGCUUAGGAACUGCAGGUACUGCACAGUCCACUUCGGGAGGACAAGUAGAAUACAGAGCUCUGUCUGGAAUUUGCUACAUGGCAUGGUAUCAUUUCGUUGGCCUUGUCUGGACUAGUGAAUUCAUUCUUGCCUGUCAGCAAAUGGUGAUUGCUGGGGCAGUGGUUACUUGUUAUUUCAACAGAAAUAAAAAUAACCCACCACCUCACCCAGUCCUGUCUUCCAUAUCAGUUCUUUUCUGCUACCAUCUAGGAACUGCUGUAAAAGGCUCAUUUCUAAUCACAAUACUGAGAAUACCAAGGAUUAUUCUCUUGUUCCUUUACAAUAUCCUAAACCAAAAGAAGAAUGCAAAGCCCCUGUUCAACUGCUGUUUCUGCUGGGUUUGCUUCCAGAAAAGUUGCUUAAGAUACUUUAACCAGCAUGCAUACACAACUACAGCCAUAAAUGGGACAAAUUUUUGUACAUCAGCAAAGGAUGCUGUCUGUAUUUUGGCAAGGAAUUCUGAUAAACUUGCAUCCAUUAGCUGCUUUGGAGAUUUUCUCCUAUUUUUAGGAAAGGUGUUUGUUGUAUGCUUCACUGUUUUUGGAGGAUUGAUGGCAUUUAACUACCACCGAGAGUUGCAAGCUUGGGUAGUUCCUCUGUUGCUGGUUGGAUUUUUUGCCUACCUGAUGUCCCACAGCCUUCUGUCUGUGUUUGAAGUGACAGCAGAUGCCACGUUCCUUUGCUUUGCUAUUGAUAUGGAAACAAAUGAUGGAACUGCAGAGAAGCCAUACUUUGUGGAUCAGGAGCUGCUGGUAAAUCCCACUGAUUACAAAGAUAUUUGAGACAUUCUAAGCUUUUAAGCACUUUUUCUUUCCCCAAGACCGAGUAAUCUGAACUCACAAGCCAUGCUAUUUCCUUUCCAAGACCUUAGAACAGGAUGGACUCAGGGAUACAAGUACAUUAAUUUAUAAACUGAAGUAAGUGGGUCCCUCUGACUCCUGUGUCUUAGCUACAACCUGCUGCCUUCUUUUGGUCAUAUUCAGUAAGUAAUGGCUGACUAUUUAAGCCUAAUUAGAUAUAUAUUCAAUAUGUUGUUGGUAAUUAAAAGAUAUAAAUAAAUAGACAAGCUAGCUGUCUAUUUAUUUAUAUUCAUAGGGUGCCCUAAGAUUAAUGCUUUUAUUUCUUGUGACUCACUGUACACUGAUGAGAAAAAAGUAACAAGUAGCAGGUCAGGGAUCCAUUCCACAUCCUACAGAUGCUGUAGUUCUGAACAUAUUCCAUGCAAAUCUGAGUUGCUCUGCUUUAUACCUUUACAGAUUCUUUUACCAAAACAUUGUCUUCUAUCUCUUGAUUAAACUCUUCUGCCUCUGGACAGGUUGUUCUGCAUCUUUACCCUUGUAAUUACUGUAUUGCAUUACCUUCAGUACUUAGCUAAUAGUGAUGUAGUGCUGGAACUGAAGCCUUUGAGUAUGUAUGUGUCAUCCCUUGCUAAUUAAGAGAAUAUCUGAAGAUGCAGGUAUUUUUUUCCUUUUGUGCUAUUUUUGACACUUCUGUCUUUUCCUUCACAAACUACACAACAAGAGAAAAUCGUAGCAAUUCAUGAAAACAAAUAACCAGCAGCCAGAGUAGCUCAUAUGACACAAAUGUUCUGGAUGGAUUUCUUCAGGACAAUGUCAAAACUGUUUUGGAGGUUUUUUUUUUGUUUUGUUUUGUUUUUUUUUUUUUUUUAAUGUUGCUGUUAGAGUUUCUGUAAUACUCAUAGAAUUUUGUUGAGAACAACAACAGCACAACAAAAAGGCAGCCUAAAGAUAGGCUUAACCCUUUGUACAGAAGAAAGCAGAUAUAUAUUCUUUGGCUUUGGUUCAGAAUAGUACUUAAGCACAUUGCCUGGCUAGGAAUAUAAAACCGAAUGGAAAACUCUGAAGCCUUGACCUCUGUUCUUCCCUCUCUGUUUUGCCAAAUUCUAAAAUACUUCUUAAGCCAAUUUUCCUUCAUGAAACAGAGGCUCUCCUUUCUCCACUUCCAAACUUUGUGGUAGUGUCUCUUUAACUCUGCUCUUAAUUCUGCAUAAUUAGCCAUGCCCUAGAGCUGUGGGUGAAGAGAGGAUUUCCCACAGGGACAAGGAGUCUUCCAAGCAGGACAGGCUUCUGUACCCUUCUAUGGAAAAACUGUGGGCAGCACAUCCAAACUCCUCCUCAUUGUAUGAUCAAGAACCUUUGUGAGUCAGAGUAACAAGUUAACAGAAGGGCGAAACCACAGAAACACAAGACCAUUCCAGGAUAAUGAAGAUGGGACAGAGCUCCAGCCUAUGACUUGAAUGUGAAGUUCACCAGGAGGUGUGGAAGCAGAGCAGCAAUAGCAAAAAAGGUCAUAUCAGUAAAGGUUACCAAUAGCCCAGGCCAAAGUACUAGCUCCCUAAUCUGUUGUAUCUUCUGCACUGGUAAAAUGACACACAAUCUGUUUGUAUGAAUAAAAUAUUUUGUGUGUCAUCACAUCUGAUUUUUAUUACUAUAUUUGUUACGAUGGUCUGAAAGUUGAUAAUAAACUCACUGUUUGUAAA
Molecule: RNA transcript, 4643 nt
Organism: Haemorhous mexicanus (house finch)
Lineage: Eukaryota; Metazoa; Chordata; Aves; Passeriformes; Fringillidae
Gene: SLC44A3
Gene name: solute carrier family 44 member 3
Exons: 18
Source: RefSeq, a predicted model, not a curated record